Molecule: unclassified non-coding RNA, 324 nt
Filed under: soil metagenome
Description: partial contains 5.8S ribosomal RNA, internal transcribed spacer 2, and large subunit ribosomal RNA
Rfam family: 5.8S ribosomal RNA (bases 1-120)
Source: RNAcentral
GAUGAAGAACGUAGUGAAAUGCGAUAAGUAAUGCGAAUUGCAGAAUUCAGUGAGUCAUCGAAUCUUUGAACGCACAUUGCGCCCUGUGGUAUUCCGCAGGGCAUGCCUGUUCGAGCGUCAUUUCAACCCUCAAGCCUCGCUUGGUGUUGGGCCCUGCCCGCCGCGGCCGGCCCUAAAGAUAGUGGCGGCGCCGCCUGGCCCUCAGCGUAGUACAGCUCCCGCUCCAGGGUCCGGCGGCAGCCUGCCAGAACCCCCCAACUCUGUGGUUGACCUCGGAUCAGGUAGGGAUACCCGCUGAACUUAAGCAUAUCAAUAAGCGGAGGA